This 257-nucleotide ribosomal RNA is filed under the name uncultured bacterium. RNAcentral's name for it is "partial 16S ribosomal RNA". It matches the Rfam family "Bacterial small subunit ribosomal RNA", at positions 15 to 278 of the family's 1533-position model. The record is from RNAcentral.
GAUCCUGGCUCAGAUUGAACGCUGGCGGCAGGCCUAACACAUGCAAGUCGAGCGUGAAAGGGCUUCGGCCUGAGUAAAGCGGCGAACGGGUGAGUAACGCGUGGGAAUCUGCCUGGUAAUGGGGGACAACAUCUCGAAAGGGAUGCUAAUACCGCAUACGCCCUAAGGGGAAAGGGGGGGAUCUUCGGACCUCACGUUAUCAGAUGAGCCCGCGUCGGAUUAGCUAGUAGGUAGGGUAAAGGCCUACCUAGGCGACG